UGCACUAGUGACAUUUCCUGAAUUGGGUGA
Molecule: non-coding RNA, 30 nt
Filed under: Homo sapiens (human)
Lineage: Eukaryota; Metazoa; Chordata; Mammalia; Primates; Hominidae
Source: RNAcentral